RNAcentral lists this ribosomal RNA (491 nucleotides) under uncultured bacterium. RNAcentral's name for it is "partial 16S ribosomal RNA". It matches the Rfam family "Bacterial small subunit ribosomal RNA", at positions 28 to 507 of the family's 1533-position model. The record is from RNAcentral.
GAUGAACGCUGGCUACAGGCUUAACACAUGCAAGUCGAGGGGAAACGACGGGGAAGCUUGCUUCCCCGGGCGUCGACCGGCGCACGGGUGAGUAACGCGUAUCCAACCUGCCUCUGACUGAGGGAUAACCCGUCGAAAGUCGGCCUAAUACCUCAUGGUAUCGUCUGCGGGCAUCCAACGACGAUUAAAGAUUUCAUCGGUCAGGGAUGGGGAUGCGUCUGAUUAGCUUGUUGGCGGGGUAACGGCCCACCAAGGCUACGAUCAGUAGGGGUUCUGAGAGGAAGGUCCCCCACAUUGGAACUGAGACACGGUCCAAACUCCUACGGGAGGCAGCAGUGAGGAAUAUUGGUCAAUGGGCGAGAGCCUGAACCAGCCAAGUGGCGUGCAGGAAGACGGCCCUAUGGGUUGUAAACUGCUUUUAUGCGGGGAUAAAGUGAGGGACGGGUCCCUCAUUGCAGGUACCGCAUGAAUAAGGACCGGCUAAUUCCGUG